GUGUCAGCAGCCGCGGUAAUACGGAGGGGGCGAGCGUUAUUCGGAAUUACUGGGCGUAAAGCGCGCGUAGGUGGUGCGGUAAGUGGCAGGUGAAAGCCCUCGGCUCAACCGAGGAACUGCCUGCCAAACUGCUGUGCUUGAGGCCGGGAGGGGGAAGCGGAAUUCCUGGUGUAGCGGUGAAAUGCGUAGAUACCAGGAGGAACACCGGUGGCGAAGGCGGCUUCCUGGACCGGUUCUGACACUCAUGCGCGAAAGCGUGGGGAGCAAACAGGAUUAGAUACCCUCGUAGUCC
This 292-nucleotide ribosomal RNA is filed under the name uncultured bacterium. Its description in RNAcentral is "partial 16S ribosomal RNA". It matches the Rfam family "Bacterial small subunit ribosomal RNA", at positions 505 to 796 of the family's 1533-position model. The record is from RNAcentral.